Molecule: transfer RNA, 57 nt
Filed under: Harpactocrates apennicola
Lineage: Eukaryota; Metazoa; Arthropoda; Arachnida; Araneae; Dysderidae
Description: tRNA-Asn
Source: RNAcentral
UGUUAAUAUAGCUUUAUAGCGCCUUCAAUGUUAAUGAAAUAGAAGAAGUAUUAAUAU